UGUAGCUCAGUGGUAGAGUACUUGUCUGGUGUGUACAAGGCCCUGGGUUCAAUUUCCAGCA
RNAcentral lists this transfer RNA (61 nucleotides) under Mus musculus (house mouse). It matches the Rfam family "tRNA", at positions 6 to 65 of the family's 71-position model. From Rfam's summary of the family: Transfer RNA (tRNA) molecules are approximately 80 nucleotides in length. Their secondary structure includes four short double-helical elements and three loops (D, anti-codon, and T loops). Lineage: Eukaryota; Metazoa; Chordata; Mammalia; Rodentia; Muridae. The record is from Rfam by way of RNAcentral.